GUUUGUGAGCCUCGCCAGUAUCUAUGCUUGUCUAAGAUAAGCCAUGCAUAGCGAUACCCAUGCCGAAAAGGCGAAAGCCGCGAAGGCUCAUUUAAAUCAUAUAUGUCUCUUCCACUUAGAAAAAUACAUUGCAGUGAGCCUGGACCCUUGGGUAACAAAAAGGUUACGCAAGAUGAAAUAACUUGUGCCGAUCCAAGGCAAAGAGCCACAAAAUUAAAGUGUAAAUAACAACUAAUGGUAAGGUGACUAACCUUACCAUUACACAAACCGCUUCGAUUCCGGAGAGGGAGCCUGAGAAACGGCUACCACAUCCAAGGAAGGCAGCAGGCGCGCAAAUUACCCACUCCCGGCACGGGGAGGAAAAUACGGGACCUAAAACAACCUAAUUGAAUGAGUACACUCUAAUCUUCGAGGGAAAAAGAAUGAGUGCAGGCAGCCGAAUCCAGCCCAAUAGCGUAUACUAAAAACAAAGCGAGAAAAAACUCGUAGUUUGAUCUCAGUUCCAGACGAUAUGGCCACUUACGCCGAUGCGACAAAACAUCGGUGCACAUUGUGUGCCUCGAGAUGGCCGGUGCUUUUACUUUGAAAAAAUUAGAGUGCUCAACGCAGGCGAGUCGCCUGAAUAAACUUGCAUGGAAUAAUAGAACAAGACCUCGUUUCUGUUCUGUUGGUUUUUGGAACGAGGUAAGAUUGAAGAGGGACGGCGGGGGCAUUCGUAUUGCGGCGCUAGAGGUGAAAUUCUUGGACCGUCGCAAGACGAACUACUGCGAAAGCAUUUGCCAAGAAUGUUUUCAUUGAUCAAGAACGAAAGUCAGAGGUUCGAAGGCGAUCAGAUACCCUAGUUCUGACCAUAAACGAUGCCAACCAGCGAUCCGCCUGAGUUACUCAAAUGACUCGGCGGGCAGCUUCCGGGAAACCAAAGUAUUUGGGUUCCGGGGGAAGUAUGGUUGCAAAGCUGAAACUUAAAGGAAUUGACGGAAGGGCACCACCAGGAGUGGAGCCUGCGGCUUAAUUUGACUCAACACGGGAAAACUUACCCGGCCCGGACACUGGGAGGAUUGACAGAUUGAGAGCUCUUUCUUGAUUCGGUGGAUGGUGGUGCAUGGCCGUUCUUAGUUGGUGGAGCGAUUUGUCUGGUUAAUUCCGAUAACGAACGAGACGCUAGCCUAUUAAAGAGGUGCGGGGUUCCCAGCACCUUACAACCUUCUUAGAGGGACAAGCGGCUCCUAGCCGCACGAAACAGAGCAAUAACAGGUCUGUGAUGCCCUUAGAUGUCCGGGGCCGCACGCGCGCUACACUGAAGGAAGCAGCGUGUCUUUAUCCCUGUCUGAAAAGACUGGGUAACCCGUGGAACUUCUUUCGUGAUUGGGAUAGGGGCUUGCAAUUGUUCCCCUUCAACUGAACGAUGAAUUCCCAGAAGCGCGAGUCAUAAGCUCGCGUUGAUUACGUCCCUGCCCUUUGUACACACCGCCCGUCGCUACUACCGAUUGAAUGAUUUAGUGAGGUCUUCGGACCGAUGUCCGGCGCGGCCUUUCGGUUGCGCCGGUCUGUUGGAAAGAUGACCAAACUUGAUCAUUUAGAGGAAGUAAAAGUCGUAACAAGGUUUCCGUAGGUGAACCUGCGGAAG
RNAcentral lists this ribosomal RNA (1627 nucleotides) under Rhipicephalus microplus (southern cattle tick). RNAcentral's name for it is "SSU rRNA". It matches the Rfam family "Eukaryotic small subunit ribosomal RNA". Lineage: Eukaryota; Metazoa; Arthropoda; Arachnida; Ixodida; Ixodidae. The record is from RNAcentral.